UGGGGAAUAUUGGACAAUGGGGGGAACCCUGAUCCAGCCAUGCCGCGUGUGUGAAGAAGGCCUUAUGGUUGUAAAGCACUUUAAGCGAGGAGGAGGGUACUGGUAUUAAUACUACCAGCUACUGGACGUUACUCGCAGAAUAAGCACCGGCUAACUCUGUGCCAGCAGCCGCGGUAAUACAGAGGGUGCGAGCGUUAAUCGGAUUUACUGGGCGUAAAGCGUGCGUAGGCGGCUAAUUGAGUCGGAUGUGAAAUCCCCGAGCUUAACUUGGGAAUUGCAUUCGAUACUGGUUAGCUAGAGUGUGGAGAGGAUGGUAGAAUUCCAGGUGUAGCGGUGAAAUGCGUAGAGAUCUGGAGGAAUACCGAUGGCGAAGGCAGCCAUCUGGCCUAACACUGACGCUGAGGUACGAAAGCAUGGGGAGCAAACAGG
RNAcentral lists this ribosomal RNA (429 nucleotides) under Pseudomonadota bacterium. Its description in RNAcentral is "Proteobacteria bacterium partial 16S ribosomal RNA". It matches the Rfam family "Bacterial small subunit ribosomal RNA", at positions 355 to 776 of the family's 1533-position model. The record is from RNAcentral. Lineage: Bacteria; Pseudomonadati; Pseudomonadota.